This 93-nucleotide transfer RNA is filed under the name Thermoplasmata archaeon. RNAcentral's name for it is "tRNA-Ser". The record is from RNAcentral. Lineage: Archaea; Methanobacteriati; Thermoplasmatota; Thermoplasmata.
GCUGAGGUAGCCAAGCCCGGACGAAGGCGCAGGCCUUGAGAGCCUGUGGGGCUUACGCCCCGCGAGGGUUCAAACUGCAACAUGUCUGGAGCA